Molecule: ribosomal RNA, 431 nt
Filed under: uncultured bacterium
Lineage: Bacteria
Description: bacterial SSU rRNA
Rfam family: Bacterial small subunit ribosomal RNA
Source: RNAcentral
ACCGGUAGUAAAGUGGCAAACGGGUGAGGAAUACAUGGGUAACCUACCCUUGAGAAGGGAAUAACCCGCCGAAAGGUGAGCUAAUACCCUAUACGCUAUCUUUUUUUCGAAAAGGAUAGGAAAGCCGGGUCGAGGACCUGGUACUCAAGGAGGGGCUCAUGUCCUAUCAGCUUGUUGGUGGGGUAACGGCCUACCAAGGCUACGACGGGUAGCUGGUCUGAGAGGAUGAUCAGCCACACUGGCACUGAGAUACGGGCCAGACUCCUACGGGAGGCAGCAGUGAGGAAUAUUGCGCAAUGGGCGAAAGCCUGACGCAGCGACGCCGCGGUGGGGGAUGAAGGUUUUCGGAUUGUAAACCCCUUUCAUGAGGAAAGAUAAAGUGGGUAACCACUUAGACGGUACCUCAAGAAGAAGCCACGGCUAACUUCGUG